This is a long non-coding RNA of Anolis carolinensis (green anole), 3153 nucleotides long. Lineage: Eukaryota; Metazoa; Chordata; Lepidosauria; Squamata; Anolidae. The record is from Ensembl.
AACCACUCCUCCUGAUAGCAAUUGGUGACCAUUGAUCCUCCCAAUACCUAUUUCCUUUCCAAAAAGGCUCUGCUGUCAAAAGGGGAUGUCACGGAUACAGAGAUGGACUCAGGAUUCAUCCAAUAAAGAUUUUAUUAAGUUCGCUACCACACACUUUACACAAAUCAUGAACUGUAAAACAUGACAAGAAAGAAUGUGCUAUGAACCAAUAAGACCACAGAUCGUAACUUGUACCUAUCAGAGCAAUGUCUAUUAUUUUCAAAUAAGUAUAAAAUGUCAAUGUCUGCAAAUGGGAGGGAUGUCAGAUCAGGAAAAUUCCCCUGGCACUUUUCCUUGGCUACCAGAGCAAUAAAGCAAUCUCUGACUCUACCCUCAAACUCUGUGUAUCUUAAUUGGAAUCAAUUGGAGGUGGCACACCAGAUAAAGUCCAACAUCAACAAUGGAAUGGCUAAGGGAAGGACUAUCAUAGAAAAAUGAUGUGUCCUCAGAGCCCUUUGGACAUUGCAGAGGAAGGAAGAGAAUACCAGCAUACACAGAAUAGGCUUAAACCUGCAUCUGUCACUAACCCAGGCCCGGCCCAACACGGCACGCUGGCCACGCCCUCGCAUUGGGCGCCACCUUCCCAGGGGCGCUAUUGAGUUUGGAAAGGACUGCCCAGCUGAGCUGAAGUCCAGGCUGCUGGGGCUUGCCUCCUGGAGAUGCUUUGGAGGGCGCUGGGGCAAAGGAGCCUCGCUGAAGCUCUGGGCGAGCGCCCUUUGGGACAAAGCAGUGCCUCUCUUCCCCCGUUUGGCAGCAGAUGAGCCAGGUUGGACCUGCUUCGGCUUCCCUCCCCUUUGCCUUUACAGCUGGAGAGCCAGGGCUGCCUGCACAUGCAAAAUGGAAAGGACACACGAAGUGGGAAAGGCCGGGUGGAUCUCUCCUACUUGUUCAGGAUGGGCUCCCAUUGGCUAUUUGGCGCUGUUUCAGCCGAUACUGGCCUCCCUCCCUCUCCCGUGCCUGGAAGCCACGCCCCCUCCUGUUGCUUUCCUCCAUUAGCAGCAGCCAGGCCAGCAACGCGUGCCCUGCGAGGGCCUGCUUGCCUCCAUUGGGAGAUUGGGUCACAGAUUAAUACCUGGAAGCAGUGCUUUGGCUAUGAAUCCAGCUGUGCUCUUCACAGAAGUUACAAGGGAGACAAAUUAUUUCUCCAAGAAAAAAAAAACUGCUGUUGAACUUGGAGGAAAACCACCCACAAUUGUAAAGGAAGCCAGUACAAUAAAUACUAUUAUUUUAUGGUUCUCCUGUCUUUUAUAAAUAGACACAUGUAUAUACACUUUCAUUUAAUGGAAUGCUUAUCCUGCUGGGAAUAUUAAUUGAAAAACCAAAUGUUUCACAUUGUGACAGGUAACCUCUCCCGGAUUUGGUAUUUUCCCCCCUUUCAUAUGCAUCAACUGUAUAAUUAGUGCAUUUUCUUGUAAGUAGACAGUAAUUUCUCUUCAGCGGGUUAGCUUUUGUUCCCAAUGUGGCAAAGAAGACACACUGGUAACUAACGACAAACAAACUGCGUUAAUACAUUAGUCUGACUUAUAAUGGCAAAAACAGAAUUAUGUUUCCUACAAAAAUAAAGUGUACAGUUUGACAAUGACCAGCCUGCCUCCAUUCAUUUUCUUUGGUUGUUUUUUUUAAUCCACAACUAACAACUUCUUACAGACGGAACAUUGUUUGGUACAGAUCUGCCACUUUGCUUAUUAGAAGCUACAAUCUUUUUUUCUAAAUUACUACUUCAAUUCAAGGUUAAUCUGCUUCUGCCAUCUUGUGGCCAGGUCAUAGUUAAUUCUGGAAGAAUUCACAUUACUUACUCCUGUUUCCCUCCUCCUCUUCUAUUCUUUUGAUCAUGUUUUUUGAGUUACCUUAGAUUGGUUUAAGUAAAGGCGACUUGCACUUUGGAGAGUAUAGGAUAUCUUAGCAGUCCAUUUUUUAGAUUCUCUUUGGAAGUAUAUUGGUAUUCUUAAUACUACUUGUUGAGACAUAGAAGUAGUAAGUACUACUGAGUGCUCAUGUUUUCUUUGUGGGCUUUCCAGAGGUGUCUGGUGGGUCAAAGAAAAAAAUCGUUAACACCAGCUUUAUAGUCAAGAGAUAAAUAUGCAGAGAUUAUACAUGUGAUCACAGGGGAAAUCAGAUAUUGUAAAAAUUAGUUGUAAAAAUUAGCAGAAUGAAUGUUCAUUUGGCUAGCAAUGCCUCUUCAGCAAAUAUCACAAUCCUUUUUCAUAGUCCUUUUAAAUACAAUGAAUGCAGCCUGGAAUAGCCCUGUUUAUAUUCUGCUGUUGAAAGGAUAAUUGGAUUCAUUGGGAUCAUGAAAUACCAUACAAUAUAAAAAUUACAUGUUUUAGUUUAACUCACCUUUAUUCCAGCUUGUGAUUGGUGUGUCUGAGUUUUUUGCAUGGGAGUCACUUGAUUCUGAAUGAACACGUCUUCAGGCAGAAAAUAUUUUAGAAACCAUAAUGUGUUGGACUUCUCCUUUGGGUCAUAACCCUACAACGCAAGCAGGGUGAGAAGUAGUAUCUUCUUAAAUCAUAGUGGACAAGUGUUGACACAUAUUAAGCUUCUCCAGAGCAACUUCUCUCAUGAUGGGUCUCCUUGGAGGUUGCUUCCAGGCUUUGGAGCCUUCUGCCAAAGGAGGCCAUGAUAGCUCUAUCUCUGUUGUUCAUCUUCUGAUAAACAUUUUACCAAAGCAGCUUUUGGACUAAGGUGACUUGCCAUAAUGUAGGUUUUAAUCUUAUGAGCCCUGUAAAUAAUUUUUAUAUUGUUGUAUUUUUGUUGGGCAGGUUUUCAGUUUGAUGAAUCUUAAGGCCUUUAUUAUUUUAUCUUUCUUUGUUUUAUUGACUGCUUUGAGUAUUCUUUUGGUAGAAAUGCAGAGUAUGAAUUUAAUGCCAUAAAUGCAUGAGCGAGUGAGCUAUGAAGUGGUAAAUAAAUAUCCUUAAAUCAAAUGUCAUUGCAUUUCUUGACUCAGCCAUGUUCUGCUAUUGUGAGGAGGGAAGAAAAAAAACUCAAUCAGUUAGGCUAGCCAUACAUUUUCUUAACCUGUGUCAUAUUCUCUCCACCUGUCUUUCUCUCAACUAAAAAUCUCUCUUGAAGCCUUUCACUACUAAAGUUGAAGGCACUUUUAAGCAAGAAAAC